GAUGAAGAACGUAGCAAAAUGCGAUAAGUAAUGUGAAUUGCAGAAUUCAGUGAAUCAUCGAAUCUUUGAACGCACAUUGCGCCCGCUGGUAUUCCGGCGGGCAUGCCUGUUCGAGCGUCAUUUCAACCCUCAAGCCCCCGGGUUUGGUGUUGGGGAUCGGCGAGCCUUUCUGGCAAGCCGGCCCCGAAAUCUAGUGGCGGUCUCGCUGCAGCCUCCAUUGCGUAGUAGUAAAACCCUCGCAACUGGAACGCGGCGCGGCCAAGCCGUUAAACCCCCAACUUCUGAAUGUUGACCUCGGAUCAGGUAGGAAUACCCGCUGAACUUAAGCAUAUCAAUAAGCGGAGGA
Molecule: unclassified non-coding RNA, 346 nt
Filed under: soil metagenome
Description: partial contains 5.8S ribosomal RNA, internal transcribed spacer 2, and large subunit ribosomal RNA
Rfam family: 5.8S ribosomal RNA (bases 1-120)
Source: RNAcentral